CUGCCAGGUGCUCUGUACUCCGCAAGCUCUCGAGACUCCGUGACCUAUCAUGCCUGGGCGAGCUUUUUGAAGUGGCACAACUACAAGACAGGAACUAAGAAGAAGUAACUGAAUGCCUACUCUAGGCCAGGUCCUUGCUAGGACUGAACAUGUGUUUGUCGAGGGUGGCUAAGUCUCAGCUGAGGCCGACCAGCACCACCAGACGUCAUCCCGUUGUGACUUCUACCUCCACACCAGAUGGCUUCUUCCCACACCAGUCAAACCAGGGUCUCCCUGAUCUCUGGCAAUCUAUACGGCAAAAUUAAGGACUGCAGCCUGGAGAAAAAAGUUCCUUCCCACUGUUGCUUGACUGAGCUGCCAUGGGCAAUGCCAGGAGGUGCAUGGGUGUCGGUGAAUAGGACAGAGAGACCUGCAGAGUGCAAUUCCAACCCUGCCACUAUUCGCUGUGUAACCUUGGGGCCCGGCCAUGCUAAGCAGAAGGAAAAGGACUGGCAAUGUGUGUUUGGGUCCCUGCUGCAGGAACUAGAGGCUGGGAGGAAAGUUUGGGCAGGCAAAUCUGGAUGCAUCCUUGGACAUAUUCCAUUAAGAGCGGUGCCACUCAACCUAUGGCGAUUAGAUGGCAGAGCCAGUGAUGAAGACUCUGGAGCCAUACCACCUGGGUUCUAAGCCCAGCUUUAUCUACUAGCUAUGUGACCCUCAGCAAGUCACUUCACUUCUCUGUGCCUUGGUUUCUUCAGCACACGUACGGUUGGGAUUAAAUAAGUGACUACAUGUCAAAUGCUUCUGGCAAAGGGUACAUGCUCUGAGUGUUGGUGAGCAUUGUUAUUAUCAGACAAAGGCCCGAGAGGCAUGAAAUAGUGUCCCUCUUCUCCCAGGGCAUCACAUCCCCUUCGUGAACAAAGACAUUAGUUGAGGCCAGUUUGAACAGAUUAAUGGGGUUCCUUUCAUUCAGCUUCCUAAAGGCAUAAAAUGACCCCUCCUGAGCUGGGGCCCUGCUUGUAAGGAUAACUGUGUGCAAGCCAGUCUUCAGCCAAGAUGCCCUAGGCUGUCCCCCAGAUUCAGCCAGAACUG
RNAcentral lists this long non-coding RNA (1071 nucleotides) under Homo sapiens (human). RNAcentral describes it as "HSALNT0283328". Lineage: Eukaryota; Metazoa; Chordata; Mammalia; Primates; Hominidae. The record is from RNAcentral.